Molecule: small RNA, 430 nt
Filed under: Pongo abelii (Sumatran orangutan)
Lineage: Eukaryota; Metazoa; Chordata; Mammalia; Primates; Hominidae
Description: retained intron
Source: RNAcentral
UUGACCAGCUCAUCGAAGGACACCAGUGGCUGGAGAGAAAUCUUGGUGCAACCCCCCGCUCUGGCUGGGCAGUGGACCCCUUUGGAUACAGCUCCACCAUGCCUUACCUGCUGCGCCGUGCCAACCUCACCAGCAUGCUGAUUCAGAGAGUGCACUAUGCCAUCAAGAAGCACUUUGCUGCCACCCACAGCCUAGAGUUCAUGUGGAGGCAGACAUGGGACUCGGACUCCAGCACAGACAUCUUCUGUCACAUGAUGCCCUUCUACAGCUAUGACGUCCCCCAUACCUGUGGCCCAGAUCCCAAGAUCUGCUGCCAGUUUGAUUUCAAACGCCUGCCUGGUGGGCGCAUCAACUGCCCUUGGAAGGUGCCACCCCGGGCCAUCACAGAGGCCAAUGUGGCAGAGAGGUAUCUGUUUCCAGCCCUUUCACU